Molecule: non-coding RNA, 149 nt
Filed under: Lotharella globosa
Lineage: Eukaryota; Cercozoa; Chlorarachniophyceae
Source: RNAcentral
CAAACCGAUACAUACAAAAAGAAAAUUAGAAUUGAUCUAAUAAGAGAAAAACGCGUGAUAACAGCCAAAUCGCCUGAGGAAGCGUCGAGAAGUGGGGGAGCGGCGCGUGCGUUCUUCGUUGUUCUUUUUCUUUUUUUCUUUUUUUUUUU